GUAACACGUGGGCAAUCUGCCCUGCACUCUGGGACAAGCCCUGGAAACGGGGUCUAAUACCGGAUAUGACUGUCCAUCGCAUGGUGGAUGGUGUAAAGCUCCGGCGGUGCAGGAUGAGCCCGCGGCCUAUCAGCUUGUUGGUGAGGUAGUGGCUCACCAAGGCGACGACGGGUAGCCGGCCUGAGAGGGCGACCGGCCACACUGGGACUGAGACACGGCCCAGACUCCUACGGGAGGCAGCAGUGGGGAAUAUUGCACAAUGGGCGAAAGCCUGAUGCAGCGACGCCGCGUGAGGGAUGACGGCCUUCGGGUUGUAAACCUCUUUCAGCAGGGAAGAAGCGAAAGUGACGGUACCUGCAGAAGAAGCGCCGGCUAACUACGUGCCAGCAGCCGCGGUAAUACGUAGGGCGCAAGCGUUGUCCGGAAUUAUUGGGCGUAAAG
Molecule: ribosomal RNA, 441 nt
Filed under: Streptomyces sp.
Lineage: Bacteria; Bacillati; Actinomycetota; Actinomycetes; Kitasatosporales; Streptomycetaceae
Description: bacterial SSU rRNA
Rfam family: Bacterial small subunit ribosomal RNA
Source: RNAcentral